AGGAUGUCAUCGCUAGAGUGAGCAAGCAGAUCUCGCGGGAGGAGAUGUCGCGAGAGCUCAGCGGCCCUGCAACUGCCACAGAAAGGUUACUUUUCCGGAAGUAACGUCAAUGGAAACCGCCCAAAAACCAGGGACUCAUUUUGGUCCUGCAGGUGGGAGGGACUGCUUGGCGUUGUCGCUGGAAGUUUUCUCCAGGUAGUGCUGGCCUACCCCGAGGCCAGCUCGGGCGGGGAUGGAUCCUUGUAAGAGCCAACUUGGAGACGUCUCCUGGUCGUCUUCCUGACGACACUGUCCCCCUUCGGCCCGAGACCGUUGGCACGAAGGCGCUUUCACCUUCCAUGCACUUUCCAUUUCCCCAGUGGGGUGAGUCGCCCUGCCCACACUCGAGCAACCGCAGAGCUGGGGCGGGCGGGGCGGGGCGGGGCGGUUGUUUCAUGGUUAUUUUGUCUGGGUUUGGUUAAUAGCCCAGGCUAGCUAGCGUCAAGCUCGGGGGAUGUCUCCUGCCUCAGCCUCCCGAGGACUGAGGUUACAGUGUGCGCCAUCAUGCAGUCUUCUGCACUUAAUCCACUCGUUUCCAAGACGUAUAUAGAAUUGUUGGACUUCACCCUUUCGUUUUCUGCAAGAAUCGCUUGUUUAAUAUUAUCUGUUUUGCCUGUACUGUGCCUUGUGCAACUCCAGUUGGGUCCAAGUUGCAUCCUUUGGAACUGAACUGCUUAAAAUUAAAGUCUAGAAAAUGAUUAUUU
RNAcentral lists this long non-coding RNA (743 nucleotides) under Mus musculus (house mouse). RNAcentral's name for it is "long non-coding RNA chr2:119477940-119478683". The record is from RNAcentral. Lineage: Eukaryota; Metazoa; Chordata; Mammalia; Rodentia; Muridae.